UAUAAAACUUUUAGCUGUUCUUUAGAUGUACUUAAUGUAUUGAUUUUAGUGAAAACUGUAACUAAGUGACUUUUGGUAUUACAUUUAAAAAUCUUCAGUAUGCAUUAUGUAAGCCUUCACUUGUUCCUGCCUCUUUCUUAUCAGUACCCUCUCCAUCCUCCAUCCUCCAGGUGAGCAUCCCAUGGGUGCUGAAGCAUUUACUUUGAAAUAGAGUGUUCAUAGGACCAUGAAGUAUAAAACAGGAUUUUUUCCAGAGCUACCUGCAUAGGCCGCUAGGAAUAAUGGAAUAAGACCAUGGUUCUAUUUUGUUGGUUUUUAGAACUGAGGGCAUGGUUAUGAGGAAUGGCCAGAGACAUACUGCACUGCUACAGGUCUAAUUCUUGGACUGGCUCAAGACAGAAAAGAGUGAAAACACUUGCCAAGAAUAAAUGUUGAGGUUUAAAGGCGAUCAGAUACACUGUAGUUCCAAUCACAAAUGACUGGCUAUACAGCAGCAUUAUAACCACGACCUGUGAGGUAGCUUCCAGGAAACCAAAGUCUUUGGGUU
RNAcentral lists this non-coding RNA (547 nucleotides) under Canis lupus familiaris (dog). Its description in RNAcentral is "Eukaryotic small subunit ribosomal RNA". It matches the Rfam family "Eukaryotic small subunit ribosomal RNA", at positions 620 to 1113 of the family's 1831-position model. Lineage: Eukaryota; Metazoa; Chordata; Mammalia; Carnivora; Canidae. RNAcentral also lists the same sequence under 1 other name. The record is from Rfam by way of RNAcentral.